RNAcentral lists this long non-coding RNA (369 nucleotides) under Malus domestica (apple). Its description in RNAcentral is "long non-coding RNA (MDOM_LNC004008)". Lineage: Eukaryota; Viridiplantae; Streptophyta; Magnoliopsida; Rosales; Rosaceae. The record is from RNAcentral.
GGGGCUAUUUGACAAGAAGCCAGGGGAAAUUGCAGAGGCUGGAACUGAAGAUGGAGAUCAGCCUGCAGUUGAGAACCCCAAGAAUGAUGAUAGGGAGGAUUCCGACGGAGAUAAUUCAGACGAAUCUCAUGAAACUGCAGAGGAUGUACCUAGAUCGUCCUGGUUGUCUUUUUUGUGGCCUAAACGACUACUUGCAGCUCUUGGGCGGCCAGGAUGUACGAUUUUGUAAUCAACGUCUCAAAUAAUUAGAGACGGGUUCUAGAGGAAGAGUCAGGUGUAUACAAUUGUCGACGAUAGAGUGAAUAGAAGAGUCCAGAUACAACGUUAAAUCAUUCUUCUUUCUAUACUAUCAAACAGUGGAGAUUAGCA